This 439-nucleotide unclassified non-coding RNA is filed under the name Hevea brasiliensis (rubber tree). Lineage: Eukaryota; Viridiplantae; Streptophyta; Magnoliopsida; Malpighiales; Euphorbiaceae. The record is from RNAcentral.
CAUGUGACUGGACGGAGCCGAGCCAUCAGACUUGUUAUCCUGGAAGAACUUUUCUCUCUCAGCAUGUUUUGCGGGUGGUGGAGGAAUUGCUACAGCAGCUGUUUUUUCAAUGUUGUUUUCUUGCUUCUGCUCUGUAACCACCGGUCUUAUAAGGGGACGAUGUAGCAUAUCCCCUGGAACUGCAGAUCCUAGCAAGCCAAAAGGACGUUCUACUUUGCUGCCUUCAUCUUCUGGCUGUAACCGAGCUUUUCCUUUUCUUAUCCUUCGGAAAAGUUGUUCAGGCUCCUCUUCUUCUGAUGAUUGGCCAUGAUCAUGCGGAUUUGAUGUAGAGGUUGGUCUAACAGUAAGAAGUGCAUCAUGUCUUUUGAGAACUCUAUCAAGUUGCUCGUUCAGCUCGGCAGCUUGGGAGACCAGCUUUUCGUCCCUGGAACUUAUAGCA